This 1346-nucleotide long non-coding RNA is filed under the name Coturnix japonica (Japanese quail). Its description in RNAcentral is "lncRNA (ENSCJPG00005015372.1)". Lineage: Eukaryota; Metazoa; Chordata; Aves; Galliformes; Phasianidae. The record is from RNAcentral.
GUCUCUUGUUUGCUAACAUAUUAAACAGCGCUGUACCUAACAUAGCUCUUUGAGUCACCUCAUUGUCAAAGCAAUUGAAAGCCUUUUCUUCUUCCUCUUCUUUGGUGAUUUUUACUUCCCCAGUUGAUUUUGUUCCCUUUGUUGCUUUUUGUGGUGAGGCCUAUAGGCUGUUUUAGAAAGAGCAUUAGAUUAAUCAGAUGUGCUUGUACUUGAGGUGGUUCUUUAGACUCUGAGCCUUAUUUUCUUUUAAGAAACUCCACACUAUUUUCUCCCUUUUCUGCAAGGAUGAUUCGGUUGGGUUUGUGUUUUCUUUUUGUUUUAAGAGUUUUGUUUACCUGGUGUUGAAAUAAGGUUCAGUAGGUUGCGAUUUUCAAGGCUAGUUCAGUGUGUUUUCCAAAGCUAGCACUUAGGCAGCAGCUUCCAGCGUUCCAAUAGCAAAUGGUAAAUGAGCAAGAAUACAGGGUUGGUUUUUUGUUUGCUUGUUAAUUACUUCCUCUGCCACUGCCUUAGAAAAUAGAUGUGGGCACACAAGCUGGUUCUGGGGGUCUGCCUCUCCCAAACACAAAUGUUGCUGUAAUUUCUACCUUGAAAACAGUAUUUGCUAUUGAUUUCUUUUUUCUUACACAGGAAAACAAAUGCGCUGAACUGAAACUGAAAAUCCUCUUUAGAAUAAAAUAUUUGGAGUCUUUGACGGCAUUACCCUUAAAUGCUCAUUUAUUCCUCCUUCCUGCCUCUUGGGUUCCAUAGAAGUCCUUUUAAAAUUCCCACCAUAGAGGAGCCUUCAUCCUCCAUCACUUGGCAAUAUGGCUGGUUAUGUCUGGACAGCGCAAAUGUCACCAUUGGUACGUAAGUAUCUCGGGUAGCUUAAGCUAGUCUUUGUUGCAGCAAGAAACUGGUUUGCCAACCUUGGUUUGCUAAUCUGAUUUGCUAGGCUUGCACCACUGAUAUAUAUUAGUGUCCUCCCAUCAGCCUUUGGAAUUUGCAUCACUUCUAUUAUAAGAACAGCCCUGCUCAGUGUUAGUGGUGAGAGCAAGAGAGAAGGAAACAGCUCAAAAGGCUGGAUAUUUUCUAUGGAUUAAGAGACAGUUGUCAUUUGGCUCUCGUAGGUGAACUUGAAGUAGCUCUGACAGCAGGAGGGUCCUGCAGUCCCACAAGAGGUUCUGCAGCUGUGGCGGAAGGGUCACCCUUAGGAAAUGACACCACUUGUGAUUUGUCUCUGCACUGGGCAUUCACUGGGACCGGGUGUGUGUUCCUUAUUGCUUGAGAAGAAGCUUGAAACCUUUAUGCGGUAAGAAAUAAGCAACAGUAGACUCCAUUUUUCCAUCUCUAUUCCAAUGUCUGGGUAA